Molecule: ribosomal RNA, 2905 nt
Filed under: Enterobacter sp. Z1
Lineage: Bacteria; Pseudomonadati; Pseudomonadota; Gammaproteobacteria; Enterobacterales; Enterobacteriaceae
Description: 23S ribosomal RNA
Rfam family: Bacterial large subunit ribosomal RNA
Source: RNAcentral
GGUUAAGCGACUAAGCGUACACGGUGGAUGCCCUGGCAGUCAGAGGCGAUGAAGGACGUGCUAAUCUGCGAAAAGCGCCGGCGAGGUGAUAUGAACCUUUGACCCGGCGAUGUCCGAAUGGGGAAACCCAGUGUGUUCCGACACACUAUCGUUAACUGAAUACAUAGGUUAACGAGGCGAACCGGGGGAACUGAAACAUCUAAGUACCCCGAGGAAAAGAAAUCAACCGAGAUUCCCCCAGUAGCGGCGAGCGAACGGGGAGCAGCCCAGAGUCUGAAUCAGCUUGUGUGUUAGUGGAAGCGUCUGGAAAGUCGCACGGUACAGGGUGACAGUCCCGUACACGAAAGCACACAGGCUGUGAACUCGAAGAGUAGGGCGGGACACGUGGUAUCCUGUCUGAAUAUGGGGGGACCAUCCUCCAAGGCUAAAUACUCCUGACUGACCGAUAGUGAACCAGUACCGUGAGGGAAAGGCGAAAAGAACCCCGGCGAGGGGAGUGAAAAAGAACCUGAAACCGUGUACGUACAAGCAGUGGGAGCCUCUUUUAUGGGGUGACUGCGUACCUUUUGUAUAAUGGGUCAGCGACUUAUAUUCUGUAGCAAGGUUAACCGUAUAGGGGAGCCGAAGGGAAACCGAGUCUUAACUGGGCGUUAAGUUGCAGGGUAUAGACCCGAAACCCGGUGAUCUAGCCAUGGGCAGGUUGAAGGUUGGGUAACACUAACUGGAGGACCGAACCGACUAAUGUUGAAAAAUUAGCGGAUGACUUGUGGCUGGGGGUGAAAGGCCAAUCAAACCGGGAGAUAGCUGGUUCUCCCCGAAAGCUAUUUAGGUAGCGCCUCGUGAAUUCAUCUUCGGGGGUAGAGCACUGUUUCGGCUAGGGGGCCAUCCCGGCUUACCAACCCGAUGCAAACUACGAAUACCGAAGAAUGUUAUCACGGGAGACACACGGCGGGUGCUAACGUCCGUCGUGAAGAGGGAAACAACCCAGACCGCCAGCUAAGGUCCCAAAGUCAUGGUUAAGUGGGAAACGAUGUGGGAAGGCACAGACAGCCAGGAUGUUGGCUUAGAAGCAGCCAUCAUUUAAAGAAAGCGUAAUAGCUCACUGGUCGAGUCGGCCUGCGCGGAAGAUGUAACGGGGCUAAACCAUGCACCGAAGCUGCGGCAGCGACACUAUGUGUUGUUGGGUAGGGGAGCGUUCUGUAAGCCGUUGAAGGUGUCCUGUGAGGGGUGCUGGAGGUAUCAGAAGUGCGAAUGCUGACAUAAGUAACGAUAAAGCGGGUGAAAAGCCCGCUCGCCGGAAGACCAAGGGUUCCUGUCCAACGUUAAUCGGGGCAGGGUGAGUCGACCCCUAAGGCGAGGCCGAAAGGCGUAGUCGAUGGGAAACAGGUUAAUAUUCCUGUACUUGGUGUUACUGCGAAGGGGGGACGGAGAAGGCUAUGUUAGCCGGGCGACGGUUGUCCCGGUUUAAGCAUGUAGGCGGAGGUUCCAGGUAAAUCCGGUACCUUAUUAACGCUGAGGUGUGAUGACGAGGCACUACGGUGCUGAAGUAACAAAUGCCCUGCUUCCAGGAAAAGCCUCUAAGCAUCAGGUAACAUCAAAUCGUACCCCAAACCGACACAGGUGGUCAGGUAGAGAAUACCAAGGCGCUUGAGAGAACUCGGGUGAAGGAACUAGGCAAAAUGGUGCCGUAACUUCGGGAGAAGGCACGCUGAUAUGUAGGUGAAGCCCCUGCGGGUGGAGCUGAAAUCAGUCGAAGAUACCAGCUGGCUGCAACUGUUUAUUAAAAACACAGCACUGUGCAAACACGAAAGUGGACGUAUACGGUGUGACGCCUGCCCGGUGCCGGAAGGUUAAUUGAUGGGGUUAGCGGUAACGCGAAGCUCUUGAUCGAAGCCCCGGUAAACGGCGGCCGUAACUAUAACGGUCCUAAGGUAGCGAAAUUCCUUGUCGGGUAAGUUCCGACCUGCACGAAUGGCGUAAUGAUGGCCAGGCUGUCUCCACCCGAGACUCAGUGAAAUUGAACUCGCUGUGAAGAUGCAGUGUACCCGCGGCAAGACGGAAAGACCCCGUGAACCUUUACUAUAGCUUGACACUGAACACUGGUCCUUGAUGUGUAGGAUAGGUGGGAGGCUUUGAAGCGUGGACGCCAGUCUGCGUGGAGCCAACCUUGAAAUACCACCCUUUAAUGGCUGGUGUUCUAACGUAGACCCGUGAUCCGGGUUGCGGACAGUGUCUGGUGGGUAGUUUGACUGGGGCGGUCUCCUCCCAAAGAGUAACGGAGGAGCACGAAGGUUAGCUAAUCCUGGUCGGACAUCAGGAGGUUAGUGCAAUGGCAUAAGCUAGCUUGACUGCGAGAGUGACGGCUCGAGCAGGUGCGAAAGCAGGUCAUAGUGAUCCGGUGGUUCUGAAUGGAAGGGCCAUCGCUCAACGGAUAAAAGGUACUCCGGGGAUAACAGGCUGAUACCGCCCAAGAGUUCAUAUCGACGGCGGUGUUUGGCACCUCGAUGUCGGCUCAUCACAUCCUGGGGCUGAAGUAGGUCCCAAGGGUAUGGCUGUUCGCCAUUUAAAGUGGUACGCGAGCUGGGUUUAGAACGUCGUGAGACAGUUCGGUCCCUAUCUGCCGUGGGCGCUGGAGAAUUGAGGGGGCUGCUCCUAGUACGAGAGGACCGGAGUGGACGCAUCACUGGUGUUCGGGUUGUCAUGCCAAUGGCACUGCCCGGUAGCUAAAUGCGGAAGAGAUAAGUGCUGAAAGCAUCUAAGCACGAAACUUGCCCCGAGAUGAGUUCUCCCUGAGACUUUAAGUCUCCUGAAGGAACGUUGAAGACUACGACGUUGAUAGGUCGGGUGUGUAAGCGCAGCGAUGCGUUGAGCUAACCGAUACUAAUGAACCGUGAGGCUUAACCUU